Molecule: small nucleolar RNA, 125 nt
Organism: Rattus norvegicus (Norway rat)
Lineage: Eukaryota; Metazoa; Chordata; Mammalia; Rodentia; Muridae
Product: small nucleolar RNA SNORA17
Source: Ensembl
ACUGCCCCUAGAAGCAUUGCAGGCGAGGCCAUUGUGUCACAUGUGCAUCAGUAGGUGGCAGAGAGUGACUAGUUUAUACUCAGUGUUCUGACCUGUGAACAUCAGAUGAUUAGUAGCCUAACACA